UAAACUUCUUUUAUAUGGGAAUAAAGUUUUCCACGUGUGGAAUUUUGUAUGUACCAUAUGAAUAAGGAUCGGCUAACUCCGUGCCAGCAGCCGCGGUAAUACGGAGGAUCCGAGCGUUAUCCGGAUUUAUUGGGUUUAAAGGGAGCGUAGGUGGACAGUUAAGUCAGUUGUGAAAGUUUGCGGCUCAACCGUAAAAUUGCAGUUGAUACUGGCUGUCUUGAGUACAGUAG
Molecule: ribosomal RNA, 230 nt
Filed under: Klebsiella oxytoca
Lineage: Bacteria; Pseudomonadati; Pseudomonadota; Gammaproteobacteria; Enterobacterales; Enterobacteriaceae
Description: partial 16S ribosomal RNA
Rfam family: Bacterial small subunit ribosomal RNA
Source: RNAcentral